This 706-nucleotide small RNA is filed under the name Pan troglodytes (chimpanzee). Its description in RNAcentral is "retained intron". The record is from RNAcentral. Lineage: Eukaryota; Metazoa; Chordata; Mammalia; Primates; Hominidae.
CAGGCUGCCUUUUACCUCUCCCCCUCAGGCUUUCCAUCUGAUGGUCCCCUGGUGUGUGCCCUGGAACAGGAGCGAAGGCUCCGCCUCCCUCCGAAGCCACCUCCCCCUUUACAGCCCCUUCUCCGAGGUGGGCAAGGGUUGGAAGCUGCUCUAAGCUGCCCCCGUUUUCUGCGGUAUCCACGGCAGCAUCUGAUCAGCAGCCUGGCAGGUGCUGGAGGGGGUUAAAAUCAGAUGGGGGUGGGGAGGGUUGACAGGAGGAGGAAGGUGGGCUCAGUUGGCUGGGUUGAGGUGGAAUUGAGCCACCUGGAGGUCCGGCUGAGGCCCAGCGUGACAGGCUGUUCUUCACAGAGGCAAGGCCAGAGGAACUGACUCCCCACGUGAUGGUGCUCCUGGCCCAGCACCUGGCCCGGCACCGGUUGCGGGAGCCCCAGCUUCUGGAAGCCAUUGCCCACUUCCUGGUGGUUCAGGAAACGCAACUCAGCAGCAAGGUGGUACAGAAGUUGGUCCUGCCCUUUGGGCGACUGAACUACCUGCCCCUGGAACAGCAGUUUAUGCCCUGCCUUGAGAGGAUCCUGGCUCGGGAAGCAGGGGUGGCACCCCUGGCUACAGUCAACAUCUUGAUGUCACUGUGCCAACUGCGGUGCCUGCCCUUCAGAGCCCUGCACUUUGUUUUUUCCCCUGGCUUCAUCAACUACAUCAGUGGUAC